Molecule: microRNA precursor, 58 nt
Filed under: Pongo abelii (Sumatran orangutan)
Lineage: Eukaryota; Metazoa; Chordata; Mammalia; Primates; Hominidae
Also listed under: 1 other name
Description: Pab-Mir-766_pre stem-loop
Source: RNAcentral
AGGAGGAAUUGGUGCUGGUCUUUCAUUUUGGAUUUGACUCCAGCCCCACAGCCUCAGC